Piliocolobus tephrosceles (Ugandan red Colobus) is the source of this 368-nucleotide long non-coding RNA. RefSeq annotates it as long intergenic non-protein coding RNA 2873. NCBI's taxonomy places the organism in Eukaryota, Metazoa, Chordata, Mammalia, Primates, Cercopithecidae. The record is from RefSeq and is a predicted model, not a curated record. The transcript has 3 exons.
AUGGUCCUCCUCUGUCUCUUCCUCGCCAGCUUGGCUGCCACCCCUCAGGCUGGGGUCACUGGGGCAUGGCCCACCAGCGGCCUCUCCAUUCUGGCCCAGCUCCAGCCGUCCUGUGAGCUCAAGUGGACUCAACUUUCCAGGUCGUCCUGGAGAGAUCUGGUCAUGACCACAUCACUCUGGAUUCUGGUGCAUUUCCAGCAUUUUUCCCAGGAGACCACAACUCAGGAGCAGCCGAUGAGAUGGAAGAGAUCACCAGAGAGAGCCAGGGAGGGAGGCAGGACUUCCACGCCCUCUCCUGUCCCAUCGCCUCCCCAAGAGACAGAGUCCUGCUCUGUUGUCCAGGCUGGAGAGCAAUGGUGCCGUCAUAG